RNAcentral lists this transfer RNA (68 nucleotides) under Neoneuromus tonkinensis. RNAcentral describes it as "tRNA-Ile". Lineage: Eukaryota; Metazoa; Arthropoda; Insecta; Megaloptera; Corydalidae. The record is from RNAcentral.
AAUGAAGUGCCUGAGAAAAGGAAUAUCUUGAUAGGGUAUAUAAUGUAAUUGAAUAAUUGCCUUCAUUA